Ricinus communis (castor bean) is the source of this 730-nucleotide long non-coding RNA. RefSeq lists it as uncharacterized. The transcript is spliced from 3 exons. The record is from RefSeq and is a predicted model, not a curated record. Lineage: Eukaryota; Viridiplantae; Streptophyta; Magnoliopsida; Malpighiales; Euphorbiaceae.
UUUUGCUUUGCUUUGCGCCUUGAAUAUUAUAGGUAAAAUAUAUUUAAUAUUCCAAUUGACCCAAUUUAGAUAAAAAUAUAAAAUAAUUAUCUUAUAUUUUAUUAAAAUGUUUGCUAAUACUUUAAAAAAAAAAAAAUUCUUUUGGCAUUUUGGCAUAUAUUGGCUAUGUCGUCUUCUGUAUUACAUGCUAUGCAUCAUGGCAUUUUAGCACACAUUGGCUACCUUGUCCGCUCUCCAGCCUGGGUCAAUUGCAGUAUAAUGAUGCUAAUUUUGAAGGUUAGCUAGCUGCAAAUUUUUAUGUGAUUUUUGUUUGUAUUUAUGUUGUUGGACGCUUUAGUAAGAACAAGAAAUCGAUUGCCUAUGGUUUAUUUAUUUAUAUCAUAUGUUUUCAUUUUUUUUUUACUGGGAGUAGAGCUAUUUUUGCACUCUUUUUUGGUUAUAGAAGCUCUAAAUAAAUUCAAUGAAGAAAGCAUCCAAUUGAGAGAAGGGAAAAAGAGCCUCAAGUACCAAAAUGCUGUCGUUUAUCUAGACUUGAAAAGAGUUCUUCUAGCAUUCCAAUAAUCUCAGUGAGCAAUCCGGAGAAAGGAGCCUUGUGGUUAUGUUCUUAUGAUGAGGGAGUUUCUUUACUACCUUAUGUGUUUCUGUACAAUAAUUUAAGCUAAGCUAAGUUGUAUGUAUUUGUAGGGUUCAACACUUUGAAUGUUUGAGGAAGUAUUAUUUUACAUUGAAA